CACAUGCAAGUCGAACGGAAAGGCCCUUCGGGGUACUCGAGUGGCGAACGGGUGAGUAACACGUGGGUGAUCUGCCCUGCACUUUGGGAUAAGCCUGGGAAACUGGGUCUAAUACCGAAUAGGACUCCGGCCUUCAUGGGUUGGGGUGGAAAGCUUUUGCGGUGUGGGAUGGGCCCGCGGCCUAUCAGCUUGUUGGUGGGGUAAUGGCCUACCAAGGCGACGACGGGUAGCCGGCCUGAGAGGGUGACCGGCCACACUGGGACUGAGAUACGGCCCAGACUCCUACGGGAGGCAGCAGUGGGGAAUAUUGCACAAUGGGCGCAAGCCUGAUGCAGCGACGCCGCGUGAGGGAUGACGGCCUUCGGGUUGUAAACCUCUUUCAAUAGGGACGAAGCGCAAGUGACGGUACCUAUAGAAGAAGGACCGGCCAACUACGUGCCAGCAGCCGCGGUAAUACGUAGGGUCCGAGCGUUGUCCGGAAUUACUGGGCGUAAAGAGCUCGUAGGUGGUUUGUCGCGUUGUUCGUGAAAACUCACAGCUUAACUGUGGGCGUGCGGGCGAUACGGGCAGACUAGAGUACUGCAGGGGAGACUGGAAUUCCUGGUGUAGCGGUGGAAUGCGCAGAUAUCAGGAGGAACACCGGUGGCGAAGGCGGGUCUCUGGGCAGUAACUGACGCUGAGGAGCGAAAGCGUGGGGAGCGAACAGGAUUAGAUACCCUGGUAGUCCACGCCGUAAACGGUGGGUACUAGGUGUGGGUUUCCUUCCUUGGGAUCCGUGCCGUAGCUAACGCAUUAAGUACCCCGCCUGGGGAGUACGGCCGCAAGGCUAAAACUCAAAGGAAUUGACGGGGGCCCGCACAAGCGGCGGAGCAUGUGGAUUAAUUCGAUGCAACGCGAAGAACCUUACCUGGGUUUGACAUGCACAGGACGCCGGCAGAGAUGUCGGUUCCCUUGUGGCCUGUGUGCAGGUGGUGCAUGGCUGUCGUCAGCUCGUGUCGUGAGAUGUUGGGUUAAGUCCCGCAACGAGCGCAACCCUUGUCUCAUGUUGCCAGCACGUUAUGGUGGGGACUCGUGAGAGACUGCCGGGGUCAACUCGGAGGAAGGUGGGGAUGACGUCAAGUCAUCAUGCCCCUUAUGUCCAGGGCUUCACACAUGCUACAAUGGCCGGUACAAAGGGCUGCGAUGCCGUGAGGUGGAGCGAAUCCUUUCAAAGCCGGUCUCAGUUCGGAUCGGGGUCUGCAACUCGACCCCGUGAAGUCGGAGUCGCUAGUAAUCGCAGAUCAGCAACGCUGCGGUGAAUACGUUCCCGGGCCUUGUACACACCGCCCGUCACGUCAUGAAAGUCGGUAACACCCGAAGCCGGUGGCCUAACCCUUGUGGAGGGAGCCGUCGAAGGUGGGAU
RNAcentral lists this ribosomal RNA (1402 nucleotides) under Mycolicibacterium sp. RNAcentral describes it as "bacterial SSU rRNA". It matches the Rfam family "Bacterial small subunit ribosomal RNA". The record is from RNAcentral. Lineage: Bacteria; Bacillati; Actinomycetota; Actinomycetes; Mycobacteriales; Mycobacteriaceae.